ACUCCAGUGGCCUAGUGGUUAGAGCAUCCGCCUCAGAAGUGGAAGGUCAUGGGUUUGAUACCUGGUCGAGUA
Potamilus streckersoni is the source of this 72-nucleotide non-coding RNA. Lineage: Eukaryota; Metazoa; Mollusca; Bivalvia; Unionida; Unionidae. The record is from the annotation of a GenBank genome assembly.